RNAcentral lists this transfer RNA (64 nucleotides) under Meghimatium bilineatum. RNAcentral's name for it is "tRNA-Leu". Lineage: Eukaryota; Metazoa; Mollusca; Gastropoda; Stylommatophora; Philomycidae. The record is from RNAcentral.
UUAUUAAUUGUGGCAGAAAAAGUGCACUGAUUUUAAGCGUCAGAUAUGGGCUACCCCAAUUAAU